AGUGAACGCUGGCGGUAGGCCUAACACAUGCAAGUCGAACGGCAGCACAGUAAGAGCUUGCUCUUACGGGUGGCGAGUGGCGGACGGGUGAGGAAUACAUCGGAAUCUACUUUUUCGUGGGGGAUAACGUAGGGAAACUUACGCUAAUACCGCAUACGACCUACGGGUGAAAGCAGGGGAUCUUCGGACCUUGCGCGAUUGAAUGAGCCGAUGCCGGAUUAGCUAGUUGGCGUGGUAAAGGCCCACCAAGGCGACGAUCCGUAGCUGGUCUGAGAGGAUGAUCAGCCACACUGGAACUGAGACACGGUCCAGACUCCUACGGGAGGCAGCAGCGGGGAAUAUUGGACAAUGGGCGCAAGCCUGAUCCAGCCAUACCGCGUGGGUGAAGAAGGCCUUCGGGUUGUAAAGCCCUUUUGUUGGGAAAGAAAAGCAGCAGGUUAAUACCCCGCUGUUCUGACGGUACCCAAAGAAUAAGCACCGGCUAACUUCGUG
Molecule: ribosomal RNA, 492 nt
Filed under: uncultured bacterium
Lineage: Bacteria
Description: partial 16S ribosomal RNA
Rfam family: Bacterial small subunit ribosomal RNA
Source: RNAcentral